Carassius auratus (goldfish) is the source of this 587-nucleotide long non-coding RNA. RefSeq lists it as uncharacterized. The transcript has 3 exons. The record is from RefSeq and is a predicted model, not a curated record. Lineage: Eukaryota; Metazoa; Chordata; Actinopteri; Cypriniformes; Cyprinidae.
AUAUUACAGAACAACAGGAAGUACCUCAAGAGAUCAGUGAUGCCAUCUCAAAACCUUUUGAUGAUCAGUUUGAUGAGAGCUGGCAGAGUUGGAACAGGAAGAACUAGAAGACAGUGUGAAGAAUAUGGGCAGAUUACCAAGUGUACCAACCACCAAACUGCCCAGUGCAAGACAAAGCACAAAGAAGACCACAUAGCAAAUGUCUUCUGGCCCAGAUAUGGGCCACACAAUCACUUUUCCCUCGGCCCAAGUACCGCAAAGAAUGAUAGCCCAGAAGUGGCCCAGAACUGGAUUAAAGACUCGGGCCACACAUGGGCCAUAACAAGCCCGAAUCUCAGCCAGUUAAUCAGCCUUAGCUGGCCUUGAUCUGGGCCAAAACAGGUUUUAUUAUUGGUGCCAAAUCUCAGCCUUAAGUAAACCAGAAUCCCCAAACCUGAGCCACACCUGAGCCUUAUAUAGUCCAGACCCAACCCAGACAGCAAGCAUUGUCGGCCCGAAUGGAUUUCACGUGGGCCGGAUCUGGGCCAAUACUAUAUUGCUGUCUGGGAAUUUUAAUAUUUCAUAUUAUUACCUUGUGUAUUACUAUU